This is a long non-coding RNA of Ailuropoda melanoleuca (giant panda), 655 nucleotides long. RefSeq lists it as uncharacterized. The transcript has 3 exons. The record is from RefSeq and is a predicted model, not a curated record. Lineage: Eukaryota; Metazoa; Chordata; Mammalia; Carnivora; Ursidae.
GGAUGCGUAAGAGCACAGAAAAAGAGGACGUGAGAUAGAGCAAAAGAAUGAGAGGAGGCAUAUAAGGCUGAGCCUGCCCUCAGAUGCUACAGCAGAAUAGCAGCCUCGGGAGACUUUCUUGACCCUUGACAGCCCAAGGAUGACUCUACUCUUCAUUCAAGUCUGGUUGUCAGGAGGACUUCAUAUGUAUAUUGCACACACCAGACCAGCAGAAGACUGCUUUGAAGGCACUGUGGAAGGCUAGCAGACUGAGCCAGCUGUGAAUGCUGAAGCCAAUGGAACCGAUGAACCAGACCGGAAGACAACAUAUAAAUAACCGGAAGACAACACAUAAAUAAACUCGAAUCCAGGAGAGAAAAGGAACGUGUUUUCAAAUGACAGAAAAAUUGCAAGAACGGUAUAUAGAACUGAUGCACACCCUGUGCCCAGAGAUCGGAUUCCAAUUCUGCCAACUUAUUCCAGCAACAUCUUCGUAGUGGCCAAGACUCUAGUUCAGGAUCACGGGUUAGUCCCAGUUGUCACCUCCCUGGAAUCUCUUUGAUGUGGAGCAGUUCUUCACAACGUCUUUGAUUUUUCAUGAGGUUAAUCAUUUUUGAAGAUUCUAGGUCAGUCGUUUUAUAGGUUGUCUCUUGAUUUGGGAUUAUUCUGUGUUUCC